This 757-nucleotide long non-coding RNA is filed under the name Manihot esculenta (cassava). Its description in RNAcentral is "long non-coding RNA (MESC_LNC001224)". Lineage: Eukaryota; Viridiplantae; Streptophyta; Magnoliopsida; Malpighiales; Euphorbiaceae. The record is from RNAcentral.
CCCAAAAUAGAAUCCCAUUAUCCCAAUAAAAUUUACAACUACAAAAUAAUUAAAUGCACAAUUUCAAUUUGCAACACUGAGAAAUAAAAAAUCUUAAUCAAUAAAAGAUUUCAUAGCCCACUAGAUUUUCAAAACAGAAUCCCCAUUAUCCACAACUACAAAAUCACCACAUGCACAAUCUCAAUUUUAAUUACAAUUUGCAAUACUAAAAACUCAUAGAAUUUAAGCAAUUAAAGAAGAGUGAAUGAUUUGCUUAAAAAUAAAUCACACGAACGACAUCAUUGAGACCCUAGCAUAGCGAUUGAAUCUAGAAGUGAAUGGCCUUACCUUGAGCAACUUAGCAGCCACUAACGAUGAUGCAGAAAGAAGAGGAGGAGGAAAAAAAUGAAUCACACGAACGACAUCGUUGAGACCAUAGCAUAGCGAUUGAAUCUAGAAGUGAAUGGCCUUACCUUGAGUAACUUAGCAGCCACUAACGAUGAUGCAGAAAGAAGAGGAGGAGGAAAAAAAUGAAUCACAAGCCACAUUUCUGAUCAACACUCAUAGCCCACAACUCAAUCAACAAUCGAUUGUGAGGACUCCAUAAAUUUUUGAGAUGGAGAAUGGAGAACUGAUAGAGGAACAUGACUAGAUGAGGCAGAGACAAUCCUUCUUCAGUCGCCGCAAGGAGGAAAGGAAGAACAAGGAAUUGCAUUAGAGUGGCGUGUAAGAGAAACUGAAAUGGCUUGAAGGAGAGAUACAAGUGGCGUGAAGGAGA